This 2922-nucleotide ribosomal RNA is filed under the name Klebsiella pneumoniae. RNAcentral describes it as "bacterial LSU rRNA". It matches the Rfam family "Bacterial large subunit ribosomal RNA". The record is from RNAcentral. Lineage: Bacteria; Pseudomonadati; Pseudomonadota; Gammaproteobacteria; Enterobacterales; Enterobacteriaceae.
GGUUAAGCGACUAAGCGUACACGGUGGAUGCCCUGGCAGUCAGAGGCGAUGAAGGACGUGCUAAUCUGCGAAAAGCGUCGGUAAGGUGAUAUGAACCGUUACAGCCGGCGAUGUCCGAAUGGGGAAACCCAGUGCAAUUCGUUGCACUAUCGUUAACUGAAUACAUAGGUUAACGAGGCGAACCGGGGGAACUGAAACAUCUAAGUACCCCGAGGAAAAGAAAUCAACCGAGAUUCCCCCAGUAGCGGCGAGCGAACGGGGAGCAGCCCAGAGUCUGAAUCAGCUUGUGUGUUAGUGGAACGGUCUGGAAAGUCCGACGGUACAGGGUGAUAGUCCCGUACACCAAAAUGCACAGGCUGUGAACUCGAAGAGUAGGGCGGGACACGUGGUAUCCUGUCUGAAUAUGGGGGGACCAUCCUCCAAGGCUAAAUACUCCUGACUGACCGAUAGUGAACCAGUACCGUGAGGGAAAGGCGAAAAGAACCCCGGCGAGGGGAGUGAAAAAGAACCUGAAACCGUGUACGUACAAGCAGUGGGAGCACCUUCGGGUGUGACUGCGUACCUUUUGUAUAAUGGGUCAGCGACUUAUAUUCUGUAGCAAGGUUAACCGUAUAGGGGAGCCGCAGGGAAACCGAGUCUUAACUGGGCGUUAAGUUGCAGGGUAUAGACCCGAAACCCGGUGAUCUAGCCAUGGGCAGGUUGAAGGUUGGGUAACACUAACUGGAGGACCGAACCGACUAAUGUUGAAAAAUUAGCGGAUGACUUGUGGCUGGGGGUGAAAGGCCAAUCAAACCGGGAGAUAGCUGGUUCUCCCCGAAAGCUAUUUAGGUAGCGCCUCGUGAAUUCAUCUUCGGGGGUAGAGCACUGUUUCGGCUAGGGGGUCAUCCCGACUUACCAACCCGAUGCAAACUGCGAAUACCGAAGAAUGUUAUCACGGGAGACACACGGCGGGUGCUAACGUCCGUCGUGAAGAGGGAAACAACCCAGACCGCCAGCUAAGGUCCCAAAGUCAUGGUUAAGUGGGAAACGAUGUGGGAAGGCACAGACAGCCAGGAUGUUGGCUUAGAAGCAGCCAUCAUUUAAAGAAAGCGUAAUAGCUCACUGGUCGAGUCGGCCUGCGCGGAAGAUGUAACGGGGCUAAACCAUGCACCGAAGCUGCGGCAGCGACACUAUGUGUUGUUGGGUAGGGGAGCGUUCUGUAAGCCUGCGAAGGUGUGCUGUGAGGCAUGCUGGAGGUAUCAGAAGUGCGAAUGCUGACAUAAGUAACGAUAAAGCGGGUGAAAAGCCCGCUCGCCGGAAGACCAAGGGUUCCUGUCCAACGUUAAUCGGGGCAGGGUGAGUCGACCCCUAAGGCGAGGCCGAAAGGCGUAGUCGAUGGGAAACAGGUUAAUAUUCCUGUACUUGGUGUUACUGCGAAGGGGGGACGGAGAAGGCUAUGUUAGCCGGGCGACGGUUGUCCCGGUUUAAGCAUGUAGGCUGGUUGUCCAGGCAAAUCCGGAUAAUCAAGGCUGAGGUGUGAUGACGAGGCACUACGGUGCUGAAGUAACAAAUGCCCUGCUUCCAGGAAAAGCCUCUAAGCAUCAGGUAACAUUAAAUCGUACCCCAAACCGACACAGGUGGUCAGGUAGAGAAUACCAAGGCGCUUGAGAGAACUCGGGUGAAGGAACUAGGCAAAAUGGUGCCGUAACUUCGGGAGAAGGCACGCUGGUGUGUAGGUGAAGUCCCUGCGGAUGGAGCUGAGACCAGUCGAAGAUACCAGCUGGCUGCAACUGUUUAUUAAAAACACAGCACUGUGCAAACACGAAAGUGGACGUAUACGGUGUGACGCCUGCCCGGUGCCGGAAGGUUAAUUGAUGGGGUUAUCCGUAAGGAGAAGCUCUUGAUCGAAGCCCCGGUAAACGGCGGCCGUAACUAUAACGGUCCUAAGGUAGCGAAAUUCCUUGUCGGGUAAGUUCCGACCUGCACGAAUGGCGUAAUGAUGGCCAGGCUGUCUCCACCCGAGACUCAGUGAAAUUGAACUCGCUGUGAAGAUGCAGUGUACCCGCGGCAAGACGGAAAGACCCCGUGAACCUUUACUAUAGCUUGACACUGAACAUUGAGCCUUGAUGUGUAGGAUAGGUGGGAGGCUUUGAAGCGUGGACGCCAGUCUGCGUGGAGCCAACCUUGAAAUACCACCCUUUAAUGUUUGAUGUUCUAACGUUGGCCCCUUACCGGGGUUGCGGACAGUGUCUGGUGGGUAGUUUGACUGGGGCGGUCUCCUCCCAAAGCGUAACGGAGGAGCACGAAGGUUAGCUAAUCCUGGUCGGACAUCAGGAGGUUAGUGCAAUGGCAUAAGCUAGCUUGACUGCGAGCGUGACGGCGCGAGCAGGUGCGAAAGCAGGUCAUAGUGAUCCGGUGGUUCUGAAUGGAAGGGCCAUCGCUCAACGGAUAAAAGGUACUCCGGGGAUAACAGGCUGAUACCGCCCAAGAGUUCAUAUCGACGGCGGUGUUUGGCACCUCGAUGUCGGCUCAUCACAUCCUGGGGCUGAAGUAGGUCCCAAGGGUAUGGCUGUUCGCCAUUUAAAGUGGUACGCGAGCUGGGUUUAGAACGUCGUGAGACAGUUCGGUCCCUAUCUGCCGUGGGCGCUGGAGAAUUGAGGGGGGCUGCUCCUAGUACGAGAGGACCGGAGUGGACGCAUCACUGGUGUUCGGGUUGUCAUGCCAAUGGCACUGCCCGGUAGCUAAAUGCGGAAGAGAUAAGUGCUGAAAGCAUCUAAGCACGAAACUUGCCCCGAGAUGAGUUCUCCCUGAGACUUUAAGUCUCCUGAAGGAACGUUAAAGACGAUGACGUUGAUAGGCCGGGUGUGUAAGCGCAGCGAUGCGUUGAGCUAACCGGUACUAAUGAACCGUGAGGCUUAACCUUACAACGCCGAAGAUGUUUUG